UAAAUAAGAGAAGCCCUUGAAUACUCUCCCACCACAGCGAGUUGUAUCGAACUUUCUUCCCAGUCUCCCUCCAUCUAUCAGUAGUUACUCUUUCCUUCCAUAACUCUACAAUGUCGACCUGCGGCAACUGCGACUGUGCCGACAAGAGCCAGUGCGUGAAGAAGGGAAACUCCUACGGCGUCGAAGUCGUGACGGUUGAGACCAGGACCAGGUACACCGAGGAGGUGGUUGAGGUCGCUCCGGCAGCUGAGAACGAUGGGAAAUGCAAGUGCGGGGCGAGCUGCAGUUGUGUGGAUUGCAAAUGUGGCCACUGAUCACCGCCAUUCAACAUAAAAACACAGGCUCAAACAUGUAAUAAUGGUGUGGUGAAUAAACUGGUUGUGUUAGUUUCUAUGUAUCUACUAAUGUUGGGAUAAGCAAUGUGUGGCUUUCCCACAUAGUAUUUGUGUUGCUUAAUGAACUUCUAUUAGCAUAA
Magnolia sinica is the source of this 475-nucleotide long non-coding RNA. RefSeq lists it as uncharacterized. The transcript has 3 exons. Lineage: Eukaryota; Viridiplantae; Streptophyta; Magnoliopsida; Magnoliales; Magnoliaceae. The record is from RefSeq and is a predicted model, not a curated record.